GGAUAAAACAAAUAAUCAGCAAGUGGCUUACUGCAAUCUGUAGCAGGCAAAACAUAAUAACAAUUCAAAUAGGUUAAUGCAACUAUAAAAAACCAGAACAAAAUCUUGCCGUGCGAUGGAACCAACUGCUACUGAGUUAGCAAUGACUUGUACCAAGAGAUAAAAGGCUAUUAAACCUGCAAGCGGUGCUAGAACUGAGUAGUUUGUGUUUGUCCACAUAACUUCCUACCAUGAAUAAUAUAAUGAAAAAUUAACAAAAUCUCAGCAAUUUACACAGCAGAUCACUGCAGGUGCUGUGUUACUAGUAUUAUAAUGCAGGUGCUGUGUUCCUAGUAUUAUAAUGGUCUGGUUACAAUGUUAAAGAUCAUUCAAAACAUAUGCAUGGGUCAUUCUAAUUGCAAUGGUCAAUUAAAU
This 414-nucleotide long non-coding RNA is filed under the name Triticum aestivum (bread wheat). RNAcentral describes it as "long non-coding RNA (TAES_LNC004100)". The record is from RNAcentral. Lineage: Eukaryota; Viridiplantae; Streptophyta; Magnoliopsida; Poales; Poaceae.